RNAcentral lists this ribosomal RNA (526 nucleotides) under uncultured bacterium. Its description in RNAcentral is "bacterial SSU rRNA". It matches the Rfam family "Bacterial small subunit ribosomal RNA", at positions 777 to 1301 of the family's 1533-position model. The record is from RNAcentral.
AAUAGAUACCCAGGUAGUCCACGCCGUAAACGAUGAGUGCUAAGUGUUAGAGGGUUUCCGCCCUUUAGUGCUGCAGCUAACGCAUUAAGCACUCCGCCUGGGGAGUGCGGUCGCAAGACUGAAACUCAAAGGAAUUGACGGGGGCCCGCACAAGCGGUGGAGCAUGUGGUUUAAUUCGAAGCAACGCGAAGAACCUUACCAGGUCUUGACAUCCUCUGACAACUCUAGAGAUAGAGCGUUCCCCUUCGGGGGACAGAGUGACAGGUGGUGCAUGGUUGUCGUCAGCUCGUGUCGUGAGAUGUUGGGUUAAGUCCCGCAACGAGCGCAACCCUUGAUCUUAGUUGCCAGCAUUUAGUUGGGCACUCUAAGGUGACUGCCGGUGACAAACCGGAGGAAGGUGGGGAUGACGUCAAAUCAUCAUACCCCUUAUGACCUGGGCUACACACGUGCUACAAUGGAUGGUACAAAGGGCUGCAAGACCGCGAGGUCAAGCCAAUCCCAUAAAACCAUUCUCAGUUCGGAUUGU